AGUGAACGCUGGCGGUAGGCCUACACAUGCCAGUCGAACCGCCGCACAGUAAGAGCUUUCCCUUAAGGGGGGCCGGUGGCGGAAGGGUGGGGAAUACCAUCGGAUCUACUUUUUUGUGGGGGAUUACGGAGGGAAAACUACCCUAAUUCCGCCUACGGCCUUCGGGUGAAAAGAAGGGAUCCUCGGACCUUUCGCGGUUGGAUGGGCCCGAUGCCGGAUUAGCUAGUUGGCGGGGUAAAGGCCCACCAAGGCAACGAUCCGUAGCUGGUCUGAGAGGAUGAUCAGCCACACUGGAACUGAGACACGGUCCAGACUCCUACGGGAGGCAGCAGUGGGGAAUAUUGGACAAUGGGCGCAAGCCUGAUCCAGCCAUACCGCGUGGGUGAAGGAGGCCUUCGGGUUGUAAAGCCCUUUUGUUGGGAAAGAAAAGCAGCAGGUUAAUACCCCGCUGUUCUGACGGUACCCAAAGAAUAAGCACCGGCUAACUUCGUG
RNAcentral lists this ribosomal RNA (492 nucleotides) under uncultured bacterium. Its description in RNAcentral is "partial 16S ribosomal RNA". It matches the Rfam family "Bacterial small subunit ribosomal RNA", at positions 29 to 507 of the family's 1533-position model. The record is from RNAcentral.